ACAACGUUUUACAGGUUGCAUUGAACUCCGAUUUUUUAAUUUCGAUUUCUAGUAAGGUAUAAAAAAAAAAUGGCAAAAAACAUUAUCAUUAUUUCCGUAGAGUGUAUUUUCGUUUGCAAAACGACAUUGGCACCGGGCACCUUAAUCGGUUACGCUCUUAGGCUCAACUAGAUCACCAACUUUGGGGGUGCUUAAGUUAUAAACACAUCACAGACUCAUGACUUCAAGAG
This is a non-coding RNA of Cinara cedri, 230 nucleotides long. Lineage: Eukaryota; Metazoa; Arthropoda; Insecta; Hemiptera; Aphididae. The record is from the annotation of a GenBank genome assembly.